RNAcentral lists this long non-coding RNA (1041 nucleotides) under Betta splendens (Siamese fighting fish). RNAcentral's name for it is "lncRNA (ENSBSLG00000006597.1)". The record is from RNAcentral. Lineage: Eukaryota; Metazoa; Chordata; Actinopteri; Anabantiformes; Osphronemidae.
AUGCCUGGAAUGAAUGUGAGGCUUCGUGACUCUUGUCGCUGUGUUUUGGCUGUUGCUUCCACUAAAGCUGCGUCUGUCCUCCUUCAGGCCAUGGAUUCCGACCCGUCCGCCAACCUCUCGUCCUUUGAUCCGCCGACCUCUCGUGACCUCUGCUCGUCCAACUCAUCCCUCUGUCCUUCCUUGGACAAAUGCUCCAGAUCCACCAUGGGGGUGUUCAUUCUCACCGCCUUCUCUUUCACCAACGUCCUGCUCAUGUUCCCCGUCUGCGUCGUCGUCCUCUUCCUGGGAUGUCGCCGCUGGAGGGACCUGCGUUGCACCGCUGCAGCAGCAGCCAUGAGUUCUUCAGACAUCUUCGCCUAUAACUUGGCUGCCAUGGUCAUGAUCGAAGCCUUGGGCUCGGUUCUUUAUUGUGUUGCUGCAUUCUCUAAGAUGCCCGACGUCCUCAUCUUCUUGUAUGACUUCUUCUGCACCCUGUGGUCUAUGAAGAUGCAGUUCCACGUGCUGACGUGUGUGGAGCGCUACCUGGCCGUCGUGCACCCGGUUUCCUACCUACGUCUCAAGAGCGACGCUGGUCACAGGAUCAGGAAGAUCAGCAUCGGGGGCGUCUGGCUGCAGUUAGUUGUGUUGUUAGGCUUGAUUCCUGUGACCUCGGCAGAAGUGAACCUGUCUGUGUUCUUCGGGUACUUGGUCGUGGCCCUUGUGGUCGUGUCCUUUUGCAGCGUCGCUGUUCUCUGUGCUCUCAGGCGCCCUGGACCGGGGGAGGCCGGCCGGAACCGGGAGCAGGGGGACCCGUCCAAGCAGAGGGCGUUCCUCACGCUCGCUGCUGUGCUGGGAACUCUGCUCUUCAGCUUAGGGGGGGUCCUGGUGUGCUCGGCCAUGAACGCGUCAUCGCUGCUGGACGUCAGAGACUCAUGUGUAGCUCUGAUGUCCUUCGUGUGGUUCUCGCUCCCAGGCAGCCUGGUGCUACCGCUGCUGUAUUUGCAGCGGUCGGGGAAACUGCCAAGUUGUACACAAACAGAAGAGUCAGGUCAAGGGUCAUAA